UGACUAGAGUUACACUCGUCA
Molecule: microRNA, 21 nt
Filed under: Acyrthosiphon pisum (pea aphid)
Lineage: Eukaryota; Metazoa; Arthropoda; Insecta; Hemiptera; Aphididae
Source: RNAcentral